This 5341-nucleotide long non-coding RNA is filed under the name Homo sapiens (human). RNAcentral's name for it is "HSALNT0059900". Lineage: Eukaryota; Metazoa; Chordata; Mammalia; Primates; Hominidae. The record is from RNAcentral.
AAGAAUUUUUCUUAGUACAUAACAAAAUGGAGUCUCCUAUGCCUACUUCUUUCUACACAGACACAGUAACAAUCUGAUCUCUCUUGCUGUUCCCCACAGGGCCGAGAUCUUGCCACUGCACUCCAGCCUGGGUGACAGAGUGAGACUCCAUCUCAAAAAAAAAAAAAGUGUGCUCUGGGCUGGGCGCAGGGGCUUACAACUGUAAUCCCAGCACUUUGGGAGGCUGAGGCAGGAGGAUCGCUUGAAGUCAGGAGUUUGGGAUCAGAUCCUAUCUCUAGAAAAAUGAUUUUUAAAAAUUAGCUGGGUUGGUGGUGAAUGCCUGUAGUCCCAGCUACUCAGGAGGCUGAGGCAGGAAGAUUGCUGGAGCCCGGGAGUUCAAGGCUGCAGUGAGCUAUGAUCAGGCCACUGCACUCCAGUUUGAGGGACAGAGAGAGAUCCCAUCUCCCUAAAGAACAAAAAAGUGUGCUCUGGUGCCACACUGCCUGGUUAGAUCCUUUGUCCACCACUUAGAUGCAUGUUAUAUAAAUGCUGUCUUCAAUUUCCUCAUCUGUAACUUGGGGAUGAUAAUGCUGUCCCAUGAAGUGGUUGUGGGGACUAAAUGUACGUGGGCACAUUGGUAAGUAUUCAACAAGCUUGAUUUUUCCUGGAGAGGGAGAAAGAGCAUACAGUGAAGUGGCAUGGUCAGGUGCAUUGGGGCAAGGAUUAUUUCCUCUGGCUUCUGCCUCCUGGGAGGUACUAAGGAUGGAUCUGAAAUGUGUCUGCAGACCCCAGAGUUGGGGACUGCAGAGGGAAAUUGAGAUCAGGGACCCCAGUCUGGCAGAAAUGGGUGCAGCAUGGGGCAUUGGGUUCCUUCCAUCAGAGGCAUGGGGUGUGUUGCAGACAGUCAUGAGAUGUGGCUGAAUCUUGCAAGGGAGCCACUGUCCUAGGGUUGCUGCUUGAGACAAAGACCACUGUCAGUGGAACCUGGUGACCUUCACCCUUCUGUGUCAGGCUGCAGACAGCAAGAGAUGGCAGCAGAUUACACCCAACAGGAAAAGGGCCAUUGCUAUCCCACAGGUUGCCAUAGGAGGGGAUGAUAUCUCUUCCCUCUCCUCCUCCAGCAGUGUCAGCUGGGGAAGAGGUGGGUUGGUGUGCACAAAAGAGUAGACCGCAGACCAUGCUGCUUCUCCUCCAGUCUGCUGGGGCCCCAAGAGAGUCUGCAGCCCUUGGCCAGGGACCGGCUGACACAGGAGAACAAAAGAUCUCAGGCUGGGAUAACAUGGUGGUGCAGUUCAUCCUCUGGAGCUCCCUGUGAGAUCAGACUGGAGCCAGUCUCCAGCUGAGACCACAUCUCACUUAGCUCCUUCCCUGCCAUAUCCUGUUUUCCUUACUCCUAUCUCCUGAGAGUCCUGAAUGAAUUACAUGCACUCAAUCCGUGCCUCAGGCUCUGUUUUUCGGGAACUUGACCUAAGACAGAUAUCUUAGUACUAAAUACUUUGCAAGGCUUCAGAAGCUCUGCUAUCCACAGGCAGGUGAGAUAUUACCUUCCCUACCACCUGGCAGUCAUAGUCUAUGAUGCAACUCAGCUUUGUGGAAGUGCUUCUCUAAAGAACUUCCCCCAAUUUAAGAUGAUCUUAAUUUGCUUACUUGUUUACUGUCCAUUCAGCUGCUCUAAAAUGUGAGCUCCAAAUCAGGGACCAUGUCUGGUUGGUUACCCAUUUCCUGGGACCUAGAACGGGCCUAGCUCAGAGCAGGUGCUCACUAUUGAUGGAAUGCAUGUUGAAAGAAUGCAUGAAUCUCAUCUCCUUUUGUGGGUGAAAAUCUCAUCCUAUUCUCACUCCUGAUUAACUUUCUUUCUUUUUUUUUUUUCAAAACGGAGCCCUGAUCUGUCACCCAGGCUGGAGUGCAAUGGUGCCAUCUCAGCUCGCUGCAACCUCUGCCUUCUGGAUUAAAGCAAUUCUCCUGCCUCAGCCUCCCGGGUAGCUGGGAUUACAGGUGCACACCACCACGCCCGGCUAAUUUUUUGUAUUUUUAAUAGAGACAGGGUUUUGCCAUGUUGGCCAGGCUGGUCUCAAACCCCUGACCCUGUGAUCUGCCCGAUUUGGCCUCCCAAAGUCCUGGGAUUACAAACAUGAGCCACCGUACCCAGCCACUCUUGAUUAACUUAAUGGAAAUAUUUAGAGAUUCUUUCUUUUCUGGGUUCUAGAGUCUUCUCUGUAACCUCUGCAGGGGAGUCCUUGAGCAGAAGGAAGCAAGUUGCCUGAGAUUCUUCAAAGCCCGCAGCCCUUUUGGAGGUUAGAUGGUUAUUCUCAGAGCCUUUAUGAUGCAUAAUAAAGACCUAGCUUGGACCAAUAUUAGGAUGAGUUAUCUUGCUAUUAACAUUCUUUUAGGUAGAAGUUGCUGGUCCCAUCUUGCUCACAAUCCUCCAAAGUUUGAAAGUUAUUUUCCAGGAGACUUGGCUUGCACUGAGAGCUGCCCUCCCACCCUCUCUCCAAAUUUCCUCUUGGGGGUAGCCUAACAAGGUGCUGUCACAGACCCUUGUCGGCCACGAUGACCCCACCCAGACCAUCCCUCUGCUGUUUCACUCUUUGAUAGUCUCUGGAGCUCUCUGGGGAGGGGUGAGACCUGCCGUCUAGUUUGUAUGGUUUGCCCAGGUCUUACAGUCAUGGCUGGCUGCCUCUCUCUGAGAACUAGAACUCCUGAACUUGGUGAAAGACCUCAGCCAUCGAUCAUGUUGAAUUAUCGGGGACACUCAUUUGAAAUCCGAGCCUGUUCCAGAUAGACUCUCUCUCUUUCUGCCCUGACCGUGAGAGAAGCCCUGCUGGACGGUGGAGACACUCGUGGGCUGUGAGCAAGGGAUGCAAAGGCUGCCGGGAAUCCCAUCUUUCCAGCAUCAUCUGCCAAGGCACAUUAGUUCCUGGGUAUCUGGAUGGGUUCUAGCAGCAUUACUGUCAUUGAAGGAAAAAUUUUAGCCAUAUUAAAGGUUAAUGCAGCAAUCUCCACAUAGGCUGCCUGGAAGGGAAGCAGGACAAGGUUAGGUUUUCCUUGUGAUGGACAGGAGGCAGGCGGCCCUCCCACAGCCCUGCCUGGCAAUACAGAUGUGUCCCCAAAAGGCACUGGGGGCCAGCUGGAGUGCUAUGCCGAGGCGGACUGACCCGGGCCGUGGGUUCACUCUGCUGGCAGCGGUUUCCCGCCAGCUCCUUGCAGAGUUGGCAGAUGGCCCAGCCCCACAGCAGGAGCCGGGAAUGGCAGAACGAGACACAACAAUUUGAUAUCCACUUGCCAGAUGAGCCGGGUGUCAUCAGUCGCCUGGCUCUAUGCCCAACCUCUUUUUGCAUAAACACUUAUGGAUUCAGCCAAGAGGAAAAGCACUCUGAUUAUGAAUUGAGCAGAAGGAAACAAAGUUCUGCAGAUAAACACCAAUGAAACAAAAAACCACGAAUAAGAAAAAUGACAGAAAAGGAGAACCUUCCCAGAAUCCUCCUGCCAGUGAACGGUCACCAGAGCAAGAGCAUGGAGUCCCUGGGUUUUGAACUGUGAGAUAAGGAAGAUGAUGAAAACCUCCCUAGCAGCCAGCCAGGUACUAUUCUAGAUUGUCUUGUGAUAUUUACAAUCUAGGAGAAGGCAGGAGAGAGAACUAAGAACAGAGAGCAUGUUCUGAGAUGUCUGCUGUGUUUGCAGAAACUCCUGGAGGGCAGAGCCAUGCCUGCCAUUUUCAUCAUUGCAUUACCACCACCCAGCACAGUGCCUGGUACAAAAGAGUUGCUCAAUAAAUAAAUCAGGAUGAAUGGACAAAUACACGGAUAGGCACUUUGAACUACAGAUGAGCUUAAAUACUUUGUGUUUUUCUUAGUCAAACAUGUGCAAUUAAGCAUGUGAUAAAUUAUAUGAUGACCACACCUGUGUCUUGCCUGAUGUUCUUUGCAAUCACUAAACAAAGUCAAUUUUGCCUGUUUUGACAGUUCUGUUUUCAACCUAAUGAUCCGUUUCUUUUAACUUCUGGCUGUUGGCUUUGUUUGGGUUUGUUAGCCUGACAAAGUGGCAGAUAUUGGUAUUUGCUCUUUUGUUUAAAUGUCACGAACUUUAAAAAUGCCUUUGCUUUUGGUAAGAAACCCUAGUUAGGACAGUCUAGUGGUCAGGAUGAUUUGGGUUCUGAUGCAGUAACAACAACCCCCAAAUCUCAGUGGCUCCAUGCGGUGAGGUAUUUGUUAGUUUUUGAGACAGGGUCUCACUCUGUCACCCAGACUAGAGUGCAGUGGUGCAAUCUCAGCUCACUGCCACCUCUGCCUCCCAGACUCAAGUGAUUCUCUGCCUCCUGAGUGGCUGGGAUUACAGGCCCGUGCCACUACUGUCUGGCUAAUUUUUUUACUUAGUAGAGACAGGAUUUCACCAUGUUAGCCAGGCUGGUCUUGAACUCCUGACCUCAAAUGAUCCACCUGCCUUGGCCUCCCAAAGUGCUGGGAUGACAGGUGUGAGCCACCAUGUCUGGCCACAAUGAGGCUUAUUCUUGGUCAUGUUGCAUGUCUGGGCUGUGUUAGGGCAUUGUGGGGUGGUCUGUUCAUUGUGUUCACUCAGGGAUCCAGGCUGACAAAAGCCCCAUCUCUGCAUGUGUCCUUGAUCACCACUUCAGGGGAAAGGGAAUGUGCUGGAUCACAGAGCCUCUUAACACUUCCACCUGGAGGUGACUCAAGUUGCUCCUGCUCAUGGUUCAUCGGACAAAACGGAUCACAGAGUCAUGGGCAACUUCUCUGUGCCUGGAAGGGGAACCAAAAUAUGAAUAGCUACAUUGAUUUUCCCUAGCUAUUACACAGAAGGCCUCAUUUAAACACAGUUACUUAUUUGUGUUUUGAAGCUAAUUGUAGUCCAUCAACCUUCACAGAAGAUAUGUGCACUUCUAAGCUAUUAUUAAGCACAGUUUUUUUUUUCUUUUGAGACAGAGUCUCACUCUCUUGCCCAGACUGGUGUGCAGUGGCAUGAUCAUGGAUCACUGCAACUUCUGCCUCCUGGGUUCAAGUGAUUUUCAUGCCUCAGCCUCCCAAAGUGCUGGGAUUACAGACACCCACCACUGCACCUGGCUAAGUUUUGUAUUUUUAGUAGAGAUGGGGUUUCACCAUGUUGGCUUGGCUGGUCUGGAACUCCUGACCUCAGGUUAUCCACCUGCCUUGGCCUCCCAAAGUGCUGAGAUGACAGGCGUGAGCCACCGCACCCGGCCUUGAGUAUGAUUUUUGAUUGGGAACGUCAGAGUUACGGUUUUAGUCUGAGGACAGUAUGACGUGAAGGUGAAAAGUAGAGCUUGGCUGUGAGUUUGCUGGGAUUCCUGUGCUACUUCUACAGUUCUUCGGCUGUGUGACCAUCACCUUUG